AGCGAACGUUAGCGGCACGCCUAACACAUGCAAGUCGCACGAGAAAGGGAGCAAUCCUGAGUAGAGUGGCGCACGGGUGCGUAACACGUAGAUAACCUGCCCUUUGGAGGGGGAUAACGUUCCGAAAGGAGCGCUAAUACCGCAUACAGCAAGAGCCGUUUUGCCGGUUUUUGGCAAAGGUAGGGACCCGCAAGGGCCUACCGCCAGAGGAGGGGUCUGCGGCCCAUCAGCUAGUUGGUGAGGUAAUGGCUCACCAAGGCAGAGACGGGUAGCUGGUCUGAGAGGAUGAUCAGCCACACUGGUACUGGAACACGGACCAGACUCC
Molecule: ribosomal RNA, 325 nt
Filed under: uncultured bacterium
Lineage: Bacteria
Description: bacterial SSU rRNA
Rfam family: Bacterial small subunit ribosomal RNA
Source: RNAcentral